RNAcentral lists this ribosomal RNA (548 nucleotides) under uncultured Burkholderia sp. RNAcentral describes it as "bacterial SSU rRNA". It matches the Rfam family "Bacterial small subunit ribosomal RNA", at positions 45 to 586 of the family's 1533-position model. The record is from RNAcentral. Lineage: Bacteria; Pseudomonadati; Pseudomonadota; Betaproteobacteria; Burkholderiales; Burkholderiaceae.
UGCCUUACACAUGCAAGUCGAACGGCAGCACGGGUGCUUGCACCUGGUGGCGAGUGGCGAACGGGUGAGUAAUACAUCGGAACAUGUCCUGUAGUGGGGGAUAGCCCGGCGAAAGCCGGAUUAAUACCGCAUACGAUCUGAGGAUGAAAGCGGGGGACCUUCGGGCCUCGCGCUAUAGGGUUGGCCGAUGGCUGAUUAGCUAGUUGGUGGGGUAAAGGCCUACCAAGGCGACGAUCAGUAGCUGGUCUGAGAGGACGACCAGCCACACUGGGACUGAGACACGGCCCAGACUCCUACGGGAGGCAGCAGUGGGGAAUUUUGGACAAUGGGCGAAAGCCUGAUCCAGCAAUGCCGCGUGUGUGAAGAAGGCCUUCGGGUUGUAAAGCACUUUUGUCCGGAAAGAAAUCCUUGGUUCUAAUAUAGCCGGGGGAUGACGGUACCGGAAGAAUAAGCACCGGCUAACUACGUGCCAGCAGCCGCGGUAAUACGUAGGGUGCAAGCGUUAAUCGGAAUUACUGGGCGUAAAGCGUGCGCAGGCGGUUUGNUAA